AUUGAACGCUGGCGGCAUGCCUUACACAUGCAAGUCGAACGGCAGCACGGGAGCAAUCCUGGUGGCGAGUGGCGAACGGGUGAGUAAUAUAUCGGAACGUGCCCAGUGAUGGGGGAUAGCCCGGCGAAAGCCGGAUUAAUACCGCAUACGACCUACGGGUGAAAGCAGGGGAUCGCAAGACCUUGCGUCAUUGGAGCGGCCGAUAUCAGAUUAGCNGUUGGUGGGGUAAAAGCCUACCAAGGCGACGAUCUGUAGCUGGUCUGAGAGGACGACCAGCCACACUGGGACUGAGACACGGCCCAGACUCCUACGGGAGGCAGCAGUGGGGAACUUUGGACAAUGGGCGCAAGCCUGAUCCAGCCAUGCCGCGUGC
RNAcentral lists this ribosomal RNA (373 nucleotides) under uncultured bacterium. Its description in RNAcentral is "bacterial SSU rRNA". It matches the Rfam family "Bacterial small subunit ribosomal RNA", at positions 29 to 404 of the family's 1533-position model. The record is from RNAcentral.